GCUGGGUGUGGUGGCACACACCUGUGGUCCCAGGUACUCGGGAGGCUGAGGCAGGAGGACUGCUUGAGCCCAGGAGGUCAAGGUUGCAGUGAGUUAUGAUUGUACCACUGCACUGCGGCCUGGGCAACAGAGUGAGAUCCUGUCUCUA
Unclassified non-coding RNA from Pongo abelii (Sumatran orangutan), 148 nucleotides. It matches the Rfam family "Metazoan signal recognition particle RNA". Rfam says of the family: The signal recognition particle (SRP) is a universally conserved ribonucleoprotein. Lineage: Eukaryota; Metazoa; Chordata; Mammalia; Primates; Hominidae. The record is from Ensembl.